GACGAACGCUGGCGGCGUGCUUAACACAUGCAAGUCGAACGAGGAGCGAUGGAAGCUUGCUUCUAUCAAUCUUAGUGGCGAACGGGUGAGUAACGCGUAAUCAACCUGCCCUUCAGAGGGGGACAACAGUUGGAAACGACUGCUAAUACCGCAUACGAUCUGACCUCGGCAUCGAGGAUAGAUGAAAGGUGGCCUCUACAUGUAAGCUAUCACUGAAGGAGGGGAUUGCGUCUGAUUAGCUAGUUGGAGGGGUAACGGCCCACCAAGGCGAUGAUCAGUAGCCGGUCUGAGAGGAUGAACGGCCACAUUGGGACUGAGACACGGCCCAGACUCCUACGGGAGGCAGCAGUGGGGAAUCUUCCGCAAUGGACGAAAGUCUGACGGAGCAACGCCGCGUGAGUGAUGACGGCCUUCGGGUUGUAAAGCUCUGUUAAUCGGGACGAAAGGCCUUUUUGCGAAUAGGGAGAAGGAUUGACGGUACCGGAAUAGAAAGCCACGGCUAACUACGUG
RNAcentral lists this ribosomal RNA (510 nucleotides) under uncultured bacterium. RNAcentral describes it as "partial 16S ribosomal RNA". It matches the Rfam family "Bacterial small subunit ribosomal RNA", at positions 28 to 507 of the family's 1533-position model. The record is from RNAcentral.